Non-coding RNA from Nylanderia fulva, 293 nucleotides. The record is from RefSeq and is a predicted model, not a curated record. Lineage: Eukaryota; Metazoa; Arthropoda; Insecta; Hymenoptera; Formicidae.
ACGAAACAGAAAGUACGCAGAUUAUGGAUACACUUAAGAAAUAUAUAUGUGGUACCAUGAACUUUCGACCAUGUAGCUACUCACGUAAUGUAGACAUCAAAUGUUUGUGUAUAAAUAAUAUUUUACAAAGUAAACAUGGUCAAGCUAUCAUUAUAUUUGCAAUAUUUCAUAGCGUGGCUAGAAGACUUGGUCUACGUUGCGAUAUAAUACUUAUUUGGCCUCGCUAUUGUAUAUUUUGGAGACCGAAAUUCGUCACAAGUAGUUUAAAAAAUGCACAAUGCUUUCACAUAAAA